ACCAUCGACGAGGGGGUGGGAGAAGACACAAAACAGCAGGUCAGAGCGGGCCCUUUGCCUUCAAGUCCACAUUCCACAUUGCUUUGUGGAACAAAGAUACAGAGCUCUGGUGAGGGCGUUUAAUAACGCUUAUCUGUGUGUUUCUCUCUCUCUCUCUCUCUCUCUCUCUCUCUCUCUCUCUCUCUCUCUCUCUCUCUCUCUCUGUGUGUGUGUGUGUGUGUGCGUGUGUGUGUAUGUUUUUAUGGUGAUGUGCAUGUGUAUGUGGGUGCUUGUGUACAAGCACGUGGAGGCCUGAAGACACCCUCAGGUAUUGUCCUCAAGGGCCAUUCAUCUAUGUUUUUUAUUUAUUUCCUUCCUUCCUCCUUUCCUUCCUUCCUUCAUUUAUUUAUAUUUGAGAUAGGGUUUCUUUCUAGUCUAGAACUCAUGAAGUAGGCUAGGCUGGCUCCUGGGGAGCCCAAGGAUCCGCCUGUCUCUGCCUCCCCAGCCCUGGAAUUACAAGCAUGCCCCAUCAUGCCAUGUUCUUUAAGUCUGUAUUCUGGGAAUUGAACUCAGAUCCUCACACUUGCAAAACAGGCACUAUACGGACUGAGCCAUCUUUCCAGCCCUUGAUACAAUUAAUAAAAUACAGCAAUGAAAAGAACAUCUUGCUGGGUGAUGGUGGCACAUGCUUUUAAUCUCAGCAUUCAGGAGGAGGAGGCGGGCACUUCGAGGCCAGCCUGGUGUACAGAGUGAGUUCUAGAACAUCCAGAGCUACACAAAGAAGCCUGUCUAAAAAACAAACAAACAAACAAAACAAAAAAAAAAAAAACAUCAGCUAGAUCAACAUAUGGCUCUCAAAGCACAACCCUGAACAAAAGAAACCAGAAAGGCUGCCUUUCUCUUUAUACGGGGUCACAAAAUAAGCAAAACUGACCUGUGGCACCAGGAAGCAGAAGCAUGGCUGCAUGUGAGAUUCGCAGGGCUGAAAACCUUCUUUGCAGGAAGGAGACACUAACACAGGAAUACUAAUAGUACUAACACAGCACACGGGAGCUCAGACGACCUCAUCAAGAGUUGACAAGGAUACACACAGGUAGUGGACCUGUGCUGGACACUGGAAACAUGCCAGGUCUCAGCACACUCAAGGUCUCACACACACACACACACACACACACACACACACACACACACACACACUAUAAUACAUAACUCCAGUACCAGGAGGUAUAGAAAAAAGAAUCAAGACUUCAAGGUCAUCUUUGACAGAAUAGGAAGUUCAAGGCCUGGGAUAUGAGAGAUCCUGUCUUGAACUAAAAUCAAACAAAACCAGUAAUUGUGCAGUAAGAUUGCUCAGUAGUUAGAACCCUUGGCAAGUAAGUCUGAUGACCUUGUGUUCGAUCCCAAGAAACCACAGUAGAGACUUUCAGAAGUUGCCCUGUGUUUCUGUCUCAAAAAAAGGUUUUAAGCCAGGCAUGGCGGUGCACACCUAUCACAUUAUCAUAUGUAAAGUACAGGCGAAACAGAAGCACACCAUAGCUUUGUACAGCAAUUCACACCAUGACAACAGAACAUCAAAAAACCUGUAUUGGAACCUAGAAAACCUGGAUAAAUGAAAAUAAUGAACUCUGAGAGUCUUACUUCACAGUGAACCGCCAUAAACCUCUGAACACUUAUCCCUGGAGGAUAUUUAUGUGUAAAGACACAGUGAAGGGCUGGAGGGAUGGCUCUUCACUUAAGAUCACUGGCUGCUCUUCUAGAGGACCCAGGUCCAAUUCCCAGCACCCAUGGCACCUCACAACCAUCUGCAACUCCAGUUUCAGGAGAUCUGAUGCCCUCUUCUGACUUCUACAGGCACCAGGCACACAUAUGGUAAUAGACAUACAUGUAGGCAAAAAACCCAUACCCAUAAGAAACAAAUUUUAAGUAAUUUUUAAAAAUUAAAAAAUACACAGUUAAGAGAAAGGAAUUUAUACACUACAGUUGGGCGUUAUUACUUUUUAGUUUAAUGUCAUAGACACAAUGUUACCUGCAGUAUUUUCUUAAUGUUUUAUAAAACCUGUAGUACUUGCAAACUUAUAAACCCACUUAUAGUUUAUAUCAUAUAUCCGAGGAAUCAUUUUUGCUUUUUCAUGUGUAUGUGGCAUGCAUGAGUGUAUUCGUGGUUUUGUGGGGGGGGGGGUGUGCAUGUGUGUAUGCAUAAUUUUGUGUGUGCAUGCAUGCACACACACAUGUGGAGGCCCAAGGGUGAUGUCAGGACUCAUCCCCCACACUUCUCCACCUUAUUCACUGAGGCAGGCUCACUCAGUCAAACCCAGAACUUGCAGGUGAUGGCUAGCAUUGCUAGCCAGCUCUGGGGUCCCCUGCCUCUGCCGUUCAUGACUGGAACUACAGGUGGGCCUCCACACUAACCCGGCAUUUACAUGGGUUCUGGGGAUUUGAACUCCGGCCCUCUUCUUAUGGAAAAGCACUUUGAGCACCGAGCAUCUCCCCUCCUCUUCUGAGUGAACUUGUAAGUUCCACACUUCACUUCUCUUCGUCAGGGAGCUCUUUGCUUUCCCCAGUCCAUCAGUUUCCAUGCAGACUUACUAUUUCCUUUGAUUUUUCUUUAGGUUUGUUUGACUCGGAAGCAUCCCAUGUCGGCCUUAGCAAGGACAGCUCCAACUGGACACCACAAAGUUCACGGUCAGCUUUUCAGCUUCACUUCUUUUUCAAUAUGGGUCAUCUAGCCACCCCUUGAAAUCUCCCGGCCUCCACUGUCUGGUCUUGUUUCCUCGGUCUCCACAACAGCCAGAGCUUCCUGCGGUCACACAUGUGCGGCCUCCUCCGUGGCUUCUGCCUCUCCUUUCCUCUCAGCUGUAUGUAAGCACCUCAGCUCAGCUCCAGAUCCCUAACUGGGUUCCCGGAUUCCUUCCUGGUACUUACACCAUGUUACCCUCGGCCAACGGGCUCCUCGUUCAACCCAGGCUUUUCACUGGUCACUACACACUCUGAACUCCAGGGAGGCUUCUGGGCCCACGUGCCAGACCAGCCCCAUAAGGCAGGACCACAGAGGCCGGAAGAUGGGAGCCAAGGAGCAGGCGCAGCGGAGACACAUGCCCACCACAGAGUCCUGCCCCGGUGGCCUCAGCCCAACCUGGACCCUCGAGGGGUGAGGAGGAAUCCAACUUCCCACCCAACUGUGGAGCCCGGGCUGAUGGGCGAGAGCAUCCAGGGCACAGAGAGGCAAGCCUGGAACUCAGCAAAGCCUGACCUGCAUGGGGCUCAGCUGGUCCCCGAGUCACGGAGCUCGCCUACGCAGAUCCAGGAAGCCCCCGUAAGUGGGCUGCUGCAUCCACAGGAGAAACACAGGGUCUUGGGUUGGACUGAGUCUCCUGUUGUACUGUGGAUGUUUCCGGAUCUGUGCGAACACAGACUACAGUAUUAGAAGUCUGGACAGGGCCGGAUCACCUCUGACUUCUUUCUCUCUACACCUGCGAGUGUUAAUCCAGGUAGCCUGGGCCAGCUGUGAACCUUGUCCCCAAGUCCGGGCCUAGGCCAGUGCUGCUCCAUGUCAGGAGUGUGCAUGUAUGUAGACGAGUUUGAGCUAAGCAUGCGUGUGUGUACAUGUGUUUGUGUGUACAUUAAGCAUGUGUGCUAGAGGUCACUGAGUCGAGUAGAGGGUGUCAGAUUCCCUACAGCCCUCUGUAAGAGCAGCGAGUGCUCUUAGCCACUGAGCCGUCUUCCCAGCCCCAGGAACCUCCCUUUGAUCCAAUGACAGUGGCUUUCAGAAAUGCUGUCCUUGUUCCCUAGGCUGCAGAGCGGCUCAUGAGCUUCUCUGUGUACACUGUUGGGUGGACUCUCAGGUCCUGAUGCCAGGCUUGUUGUUGGCGGAUGACAGUGAGGCCAAUGUGACAGUAGCAAAGGCAAUGUGAUUAGAAAGUGGUGGAUUGUGUGGUGUUUCUGUAAAAUCAACGCCUGGCUGUCUUGAUAAUAUGACUCAGAAACCACCCCCAAAACACCAGAGGUGCCAUCGGCAGCCAUGCAGCUCCCAGCCAGGCUGCCUCCUGCCUCCAGCCAUGUAGCCCACCCCAGGAUAGCUAAGCCUGAGGGAAGCUUGAGCUAAGACUGGAUGUUGGGAAGAUCUAUAACCUACAAACCUGGUUCAAGUCUCUGUUCUUCCUUCCCACCCCCACGUCUCUCACCUGACCAUACUGUGAGUACUGAGUUGGAGAAGACCCGGUGAGAUUUCUAAAGAAGUUGUCCAACUUUUAAAAGGAAUUUUAAGAAGUUUAUUGUGGGUUCCUGUGAGGCGGCCAGAGGACAACUUGCAGGAAUCCAGUCUCUACUUCCACCGUACAAUCCUAAGGAUGGAAUUCAGGUUCCCAGGCUUGAUGAGAGGCAUCACUCCAGGCCUUUGACCUAAGAUGGUUAUGGGGACUCAGGACCAACCUUCUCUCUGACCCUCACACCCCAGGGCCAGUGCAGCAGAAGGAAGGCCGUGGGAAGUGGCCCUGCCAUGUCUGAAUUCAGGAAUUAAUGAGGGAGAUGGUCAAGUUUUCAAGAGUUCGGUCCCCACAGUGCUGUUCCUGGUUUGCUUUCUACAUGGAAAAGGCCCAGAACUCAUGCCCUAAAGAGAAUCUGUCCAGGCCCCUCAGCAUCCUUUGCCUGGCACCUCCUUUCUUCAGGAAGUGUAUUCCUAGACAAGGACUCAGCACACAGCUCCCUGCCCUUCCCAGUACUGGCUCUUCAUCCUGGCGAAGGGUAUGUGAACAGAAAUCCACAGUUCCGUGUUUAUGACCAACUCAUAGAACUAAACUGUUUUGUUCUUACACAUUUUUUAUCUUUAGCCUACCAAUGACUUGGGCCUUAAGAUUUCCUGACAUUUGAAGUCUCUCUGCUCCGUAUUUAUGAGACCAUCACCCAUGGACAGACAAUUCUUGUUUUACUCGACAAUCCCAAGCUCAGAGAAGGGACAAGAGGAAGUGAGCGGACAGUCACGGUGCUGCUGUUUCUGAGAAACAAGGAGAAAGGCUGGCAGCUUUGUGUGCCCACCCCAAGCUGUGCCCUGGGGCUGGCAGGUUAAAGUGGCGUCCUUUCUCCUUGAACCUUGGGUAGAUCCUACGGUAGAAGCCGUGAAGGGUCCAGAGUCAAAUUCAGCGGCAGCUUUUCUUAGUUCUCUAGUUUUUUAUGUAUUUUGGCCAUUUCCCAAGUGUUUAUCUCUCUUCAGUUACAGCACCAUGUUAAACAGCCGUUGCUGUUUGCCUAAUUGAAAUACAAAAUCUGGGAACACAUGGCGAAGCAAUGUACUUGCUCCUGGCAGUGGGGUUUGCAGUUGAUUGCAGCUCGUCCUCAGUCCAUUCUGGUUCUUUGCACUAGAGAGCCAUCACAUUCUACCCAGAUUUUAGCUGCCCUGCUUGAGGUAGUCUGAGGUCUACCCUGUGCUAGAAAGUGUGAAAGGCAGGAAGAACUGCCCCCAGGGACUUCCUUCCUGGUAAGUCAGUGUCCUCCAGAAAAGACUUGCCUUUAUUCCUUCCCCACUACCUUCUCCCCAUUAUUUUCUCAUUUCUCCCCCCUCAGAGUUAAUUGUUAUGUGCUCCUGAUAGGAGCAGCUUGACCGUUAUGGUCACAGUCUAUUAGCUAAAUAUGGGUAGACAGAAAAUUCCUGCACUGCUGCGGAAUAUUUGUACACUAUGUGAAGAUGUGUUGCUAUGAUUGGUACAAUCAAGAGCUGAAUGGCCAAUAGCUAAGCAGCAGGUAUAGGUGGGACUUCCAGGGACAGAGAGGACUCUGGGAAGAUGAAAGGUGGACAUGCCAGGAGAUGCAGAGCAAGCAGGAUGUGCAGGAAGAGAGGUAACAGCAGCCAUGAGACAUGUGGCAGAAUGUAGAUUAAUAUAAAUGGGUUAAUUUAAGUUAUAAGAACUAGUUAGAAACAAGCCUAAGUAAGGUAUAGGCCAAGCCUUCAUAAUAAAUAAGUCUCUGUGCCAUUAUUUGGGAGCUGAAGGGACAUAGAAAGACCUGUUAUGUUACAUUUGUUCCCAAUGCAUGCCAUGUAAAUCCACAUAAGGCCUGAGAAAGCUUGAAAAAAAAAAAAGGUUCCAAGUAGGCUCAGUGCUUACAGCCUACACAGGCGUGGCUACCAAGCACUUGAAUGGGGUUUAUGAGCAGCAGGUGGUGCACUACUUGGUGGCGGGAGACUAGGUAGAAGUGCCUACAGGAGCUGGGGCAGAUAGACUGGCUCCAGGCCAGGGCCACAGGCAUGAGGCUCCUCUCUCACUGACCCGAAGUGGGCGGCCACAUGCUAAGCAGAGUCACAUAGCAGAGGCCUAGCCACCGCCUAGCAGUGAAAGGUUUGGCUCAUGGUCAGAAAAGGCUGCAGAUACGCAAAAAGUCAGGUCCAGACUGAUUAAACCUCUAAACAGGUACAGUAAGCUUAAAAAUGUGCUUAGAUGCUGAAGAAAGAAAAGAAAAUGGGUAUGGACAGUCAUAGAAAAAGUUUUAAAAUAAUAAAGUGAAGUCUUUAUAAAGAAAGAGUAAAGUAAUAUAAAAAGGAUAAGUCACAUACGGAUGGGAAAUACUAUAACACAGGGAGUUUGGGCCUUAUAUGGUGUUUUGUUAAUUUUUUGAAUGGUAAUGAACAGAAAACACCAACUGCUGAGAGACAUUUUAUUGUGGGAGGGACUGCCAAAUUAAACCAGACUACAUACUUUUAGGGAUGUCUUAACUUUAGAAUGGAAGCCAGAAAACGUUGGGGGAGAGGUUAUGUUUGUUUCCACAGAAAACGAAAAGCUGUGGAUUCCUUCAGAAUUAAUAGACCAGAAUUGAUCGGGGGCAACCUCCUGAGGACCUUGUCUAGAGAUGUGGGAAAAAGCCAAAAAAGACUACAGGACAGGUGACUUAUAUGCUGAUUCCUCUGCAUGGGAACAGCUCUGAGAAUAGAUGAGACAUGAUAAACCUUGUUAGCUACAGAGUUAUGAUUUAUUACAUACCAUCCUUUCAUAUGGCAUGGAUAGAAAGGAGCCCAGGUGAUCCAGCCUCUCCAAGUGCCUGUUAGUUUCCUCAAAAUUCUGCAUCCAGAACAACUUCAAAGCUGCUAUCUCAGAUGGUCUAGCCUCACAGACUACUCCAGCCAGACCUCAUAAGCUCUACACUUUCUCAUCAAAUAGACUAAACAAAAAAUAACACAGCUAGCCCUCCCAGGCCUUGACCAGUGAGUGGCGAGUGGGACAGCUGGUGGCAGGCGUGGCCACCAGAGCAGCCUGGGUCUCUUUUGGCUCUCUAGUUAGGGCUACCUUUCAGUUCCUGAAGGAAGCACCUUGCAUUUUGCUUCUAUUUGUGUUGUGUGAAAUGGCACUUGCCAUUCAUUUACCUAAUAGGAACAGAAACAGAUGAUACGAAAAUGCUCAGACCCAUGGUGAUUAUGGGCAGUGGUCAGGUGGAACCUGGAGACUUGAUGCAAAAUUUUAAUGUCUUAAAAUGUCCCAUGUUUGGGUUGGAGAGAUGGCUCAGCCAUUAAGAGCACUGGCUGUUCUCCAGAGGUCCAGAGUUCACUUCCUAGCAACCCACAUGGCGCAUCACAACCAUCUGUAAUAUGUUGCCCUCUUCCGGCCUGCAGGCAUACAUGCAAGCAGAACAUUGUAUACAUAAUAAAUCUUUACUAAAAGAAGUCCCCCAUUUUAAUGCCGUUAAGUACAAGGGACAUCAGUAUGUGGCUCUCUCAACUGCUUUGGCUUCCUUCCAAACUGUGAAACAAUGGCAUCAAGAAGAAAUGUCCCAGAAAGUCCAGACCAAGGUUGACAGUGUGUCUAUAUUCUUAAGUCGUGUAGCUCAGACUGGAAGCUUCUGUGUCCUCAUCCCAAAGGCUCUCAGCUGAACUGCUGCUAGAAGCCUGAAUGCUUAACCAGCCAAAAUGCUUAACCAGGCCAAAUGCUGCUAGUUUCUGGUCCUCACGCCUUACAUACCUUUCUGCUUUCUACUACCACUCCCUGGGAUUAAAGGCUCGCUUUCUGGGAUUAAAGGCGUGUGUCACCAUGCCUGGUCUUUCCAAUGUGGCCUUGAACUCACAGAGAUCCAGAGGGAUUUCUCUCUGGAAUGCUAGGAUUAAAGGUGUGAGUGCCACCAUUUUCUAGCCUUUGUAUCUAGUGGCUGUCUGUUCUCUGACCCCAGAUAAAUUUAUUAGGGUUCACAAUAUUUUGGGGAACACAAUACUACCACACGGGUAUUUAAAUACUUUGUCUUUGGCACACUGGUUUCUCCUCAGAAUGCAUCAUCCCACCUUUUUUGCUGUCUCAUGUAACCUUGUCCAUUUUUAAAAAGUAUUUUCUAGGGGGCUGGAGAGAUGGCUCAUGGGUUAAGAGCACUGGCAGCUGUUGCAGAGGUUUUGAAUUCAAUUCUCAGCAACCACAUGGUGGCUCACAACCAUCUGUAAUGAGAUCUGGUGCCCUCUUCUGGCCUGCAUACAUGUAUGCACACAGAACACUGUAUACAUAAUAAAUGUAUAUUCUUUGCCUAAAUCCUAAAUUAAGAUUUUGUUAAGAACUUAUAUUUCAGGGGCUGGAAAAAUGGUUCAGCUGUUUCUUCCAGAGGACUGAGGUCCAAUUCCCAGCACCCACAUGGCAGCUCACAACUGUAACUCCAGUUUCAGGGGAUCUGACCCCCUCAAACAAAUGUGCACUUAAAAAAAAAAAAAAAAAAAAAAAAAGCAGACACUUGUGUUGGUAAAUAAUGCCAAACCGUACCAAUCUCUACUCCCACCAGGGACUACAUACGAAGAGACCUUUGUUCCUAUAGUCUGGUUUUACCCAGCUUUUUGUUUCUGGCCGAUUUGCAAUGUAAUACAGCCCUUAAUAAUCACCUUAAUGCUACCUAGCUGGACAGUAAGAUUACUUCUGCAGGCUAGCUGGAUCCGGCUGGAAUGCCUAUCUCUUACAGGACACUGCCCAGCAGCUGAGGAAAUCCUUCCAUUCCCCUAACACCACUAAGGUUUGGUCAAACAGUGGUCCACUCUAUAGCAGUGCAAGCCCUCAAACCUAACUGAACGCUUUCCCUCCAUUUGAUGAGGCAUGGUAAAACUCAGGAUGUUACUAUUACAAGCAAGGAGUGUGGACCUUAGUGAUCCAGCAGCUGGUGCUUUCUUCUUAAAAUGUUCCAUCAGAUGACAGAACUGACCACUUAUCUUUCUCAUCCUGUCACUGUUGGUAGCCAGCACUUAAGUUUUUUCUUUUUCCCUUGGCUGCUUUCAAGACACUUUUUGGUUCAGGGAUUUCUGUGAUUCUUGACAACAGCCCAAGGCAGGUUUGUAAAAACAAUGUUAGGAACAGAGUAUCUUUUGGGUUUUUUUUUUUUUCUGAGACAGGGUUUCUCUGUGUAGUUUUGGUGCCUGUCCUGGAUCUCUCUUUGCAGAACAGGCUGGCCUUGUACUCAAGAGAUCUGCCUGGCCGCCCUGCUCUAUUUUGGAUUUUUUUUAGGUAUACAGUAUUCUGUCUGCAUGUGUCCUUGCAGGCCUGAAGAGGGCACUUUACAGAUCUCAUUACAGGUAGUUGUGAGCCAUGUGGUUGCUGGGAAUUGAACUCAUGACCUCUGGAAUAGUCAGUGCUCUUAACCGCUGAGCCAUCUCUCCAGCCCCCUAAACUUACAGGUUGGGCCACCAUUCCAACAUCUAUUUUCUAGUUCACAAAACCCCUCUCCAGCAUGCUGAUCCUACUAUUCAUACCUAAAUUGCUAGUUUUAACAGAUUUUGAAGCAGCCAUUAUAUGGCCCAGCAUUCCUCACACCUGUGCAGACCUGGUCAGAGGGACCCUUUGGACUUUACUUAAGGGUAUGUCUUUCUUUUACCAAAUUCAGGGGUCAGUACUUCGGUGGUACAAUGUCUUCCAUUGAGGACAUGCUGAGAAGUUCUAGGAAUCCUGAUUGCUCCAGCAGGAACCACUGGUCACCCAGGCAACAGAUGCUUAAACUGUACUGUGGAGUCCAAGGAGGCUCCUCUAGGUUUUCUUGGCUCCCACUGGAUUUUCUCAUCUUGUUUCCUUUUCUGCAGCCUGAUGUCUGUAACUCAAGCCUCCAUCUCCACACCUCUGCUCACUGCUGUAUCCUGGGUGCUUAAUAGGUCUAGUAUAAAAAUUUGAGAUUCUUGGAUCACUAUAGGACUAUUCCUAAAUCUAGCGUGCAUCUAGAUGAUGCAUAGGUCAGAAACUCCAAGUUCACCAUGGGACAGGAAGUAGAACAAGCACCUAUACCCCACCUGUCUACGUUCUUCUCCUUCAGCCUCCCAGUGCUGCACUUAGAGACUACCACCAGGCCCAUCUAGAUGUGCUUCUACAGGCAAAAUUUAUGUCUCAAGUACCUAUGAAUAUUUAGUCAAGUGCAGAAAAUCUCCACAUCAAAAUUACAAAAACAGAACUUGUAGACUGUUAAACAGACAGCAUUGCUCAAGAUCAUAAAACCACUGCAAGUCUAGGCUGUUGUGGGGCAGACGUCUACACCCAGCCUGGUGCCAGUGGUAAGCUUAGUCAGUUACAGCAUACCAUAAGCAGCACUUAGUAUUCUUCAAAGCUUACACCAGCAAGAGAAAAAAGCUAAGGAGAUAUGCUGAGUUUCACUUGCUUCUCCAAAGAACCAGAGUUCUGUUCCCAGGACUCAAGUUAGGAAACUCCAAAUACAGUGGAUCUGAUGCCUUCACACUUUAAAAAAAAAUCCCUAUUCUGCUUAUCUUAGAAGUCUGGAGCUUCAACCUACUUACUGGCUCCAUAGUCACAAGUGAUAUGACACAUGUCAGCAACUGGUAGCACCAGCAAGUGCAGCUCUGCCUUCAAGACACUUCUCCAUCACCCCAGCAGAUCUAUGCUAGCACAGUACAAACAGCAUCAGCAGACCAGCACAGAUUUGCUGCCAAAAACAGUGAGGCUGCUACUGCUUGGGUAUUACUACCUCAGGACUAUAGGACAAGUUCUGCAUGGACUGACAUAGUGUUCAUGUUAACUGUUAUGGGACACAAAACCCCAGUGGCACAAACCUUAAGUCUACACCCCAGAAGAAAGAUCUCUGCAUCUGAGGGAAGUCAGAACACAGACCCUGUAUAAACACCACACCCAGAUAGAUCUCCCCUAUGCAAUUUCCACAUAGGCCCCAAGCAGCUUGUUAUCCUAAAGACAACCUCAAAGCAACCUAGAUUUAAAGUGGACCAUGAAUGUGCUCUAACUGUAUUUUACAAACACUCUUCUAAAGCCUGUUCACAAGCU
Long non-coding RNA from Peromyscus californicus insignis, 11192 nucleotides. RefSeq lists it as uncharacterized. The transcript is spliced from 4 exons. The record is from RefSeq and is a predicted model, not a curated record. Lineage: Eukaryota; Metazoa; Chordata; Mammalia; Rodentia; Cricetidae.